UGGAAGACCAAGCCCAGCUAAACCAGUGGGGACUUGAGCACUAACAUUUGGAGUGGGAUUUGACCUUGUAGAGUUAGUUUGGGUACCGCCAGUGCUAGCAGGGGACCAUGGGUUUGGAAGUGGAUUUGUAUUUGGAGAAGGAGAUCCAUUAGUCAUAUCAGAAGUAGUAGAUAAAUUGGAUGUUGCAUUAUUGGUCACGUCCCCACCCGUCCCCAAAAGUGCAGCGAAAGGGUUCGAG
RNAcentral lists this unclassified non-coding RNA (238 nucleotides) under Hevea brasiliensis (rubber tree). The record is from RNAcentral. Lineage: Eukaryota; Viridiplantae; Streptophyta; Magnoliopsida; Malpighiales; Euphorbiaceae.